RNAcentral lists this ribosomal RNA (514 nucleotides) under uncultured bacterium. Its description in RNAcentral is "partial 16S ribosomal RNA". It matches the Rfam family "Bacterial small subunit ribosomal RNA", at positions 28 to 523 of the family's 1533-position model. The record is from RNAcentral.
GAUGAACGCUGGCGGCGUGCCUAAUACAUGCAAGUCGAGCGAACAGAUGAGAAGCUUGCUUCUCUGAUGUUAGCGGCGGACGGGUGAGUAACACGUGGGUAACCUACCUAUAAGACUGGGAUAACUCCGGGAAACCGGGGCUAAUACCGGAUAAUAUUUUGAACCGCAUGGUUCAAUAGUGAAAGACGGUUUCGGCGGUCACUUAUAGAUGGACCCGCGCCGUAUUAGCUAGUUGGUAAGGUAACGGCUUACCAAGGCGACGAUACGUAGCCGACCUGAGAGGGUGAUCGGCCACACUGGAACUGAGACACGGUCCAGACUCCUACGGGAGGCAGCAGUAGGGAAUCUUCCGCAAUGGGCGAAAGCCUGACGGAGCAACGCCGCGUGAGUGAUGAAGGUCUUCGGAUCGUAAAACUCUGUUGUUAGGGAAGAACAAAUUUGUUAAUAACUGAACAAGUCUUGACGGUACCUAACCAGAAAGCCACGGCUAACUACGUGCCAGCCGCCGCGGUAA